UGCUCUCUCUCUCGCUCUCUCUCUCUCUCUCGCCCCCUCUCUCACAUCAGAAGCGCUGAAAUGCACCCCAGGGCCAAAUCGCACAGAACAACCCCUCUGAGCCAGAGAAAAAAGCUGGAAUCCGUUUGCCCUGAUAUUUCACCAGCCAGAAGCGAGGGGAGAGGGAAAGACAGAGGGAGAGAGAAAGGGAGAGGGAGAGGGAGAGAGAGGGGAAAGAGACUGGGGCAGAGAAAAAGGGAUAGAUGGGAAAACGGCAGACCAGGGCUGUAUUUAUUGGGGGUGUGAGUGCCGCGCUGUAGGCUGUGGGAUGGUCGGGAGAGUGCAAGGUGUUGCUGUUAGGUGUGGUUGGGUUUACAGAAAGGGAAGAGCAUGCAUAGAUAGGAUGGUGAAGAGGAAAAAAAGAGAGGAGAGAUGGAAGGAUUGGUCAUGCGCAAGACCGCAGGCCGUUGGAGGCAGCUUAGAAAUCUCUUACAUCUGGAAGAGCCAUAAUUCAUGGGAUUUGGCCUAACAGCCAUGACAGGCAUUGGGGCGGCCAGCAACAACUGUCUCCUGUGUUAGCAGCAGUGUGUGCGUUAGCUCCGUGUGAGAGAGAGAGAGAGAGAGACGAAGAGUGAGAGACAAAGACUAACAACAGUAUGUGUGGAUACUUGCAACUAUUUAUUUAUUCAUAACUCAGGGAGAUCAGACUCACCCGAACAAGGUUUGCUCAACUUUUAUUUGUGGAACUGAGUUUGGACGCUCAUUAGGUGCUCUAUAUAUGUUUAUGAUAUUCAUUCAUACAACAGUGGUAGACAGUAACCGAGUACAUUUACUCAAUUAUUAUCCUUUUAAUACUGAACCAUUUUAUGCUACUUUCUACUAUACUACUAUACUUCCACUCCACUACAUUUUAGAGGUAAAUAAUGUACUUUUAACUUCACUACAUAUAUUUCACAGAUAGUUACUUUGCCGAUUCAUAUUUUCAUACAAAAUAUGAUCAACAAUUAAAAUAUGAUGUUAUAGAUUAAACUAUUCAACAGUACAUAAAGUCAUUAAAAUUAGCCUAAUCUCAACUAGAUACAUUAAAAUGCUGUUUCAAAUAAUGCAUCAAUCCAAUAAUACGUUUAUAAUAUGUUUUUAUAAUAGUAUAUGAUACUUUUGAUAUUUUUAGUACAUUUUUACUUAAGACAGAAUUUUGAAAGCAGAAUUUUACUUUACUUGAAGAGUAUUUUUACAUUGUGGUAUUGCUACUUUUACUUUAGUAAAAGUCCUGGAUAUUUCUUCUACCACAACUAUUAUUAAAUUGACAGAAAUGAUAUGACUGUAGAGACAAUUCAGUGAAAAGAAAAAUACAGUAGUGUUUUUCCUAAACAUAGACAAUUUUUAAGAUGACCUACAAUAUUGUACAUACAUAACUAUCUCUGUGCACAAAUGUUUCUACACUUCUGUACACACAUACAUGCGAGAGACAUAAACCGACUUGCAGCAGAAAAAGCAGUGCCGUCUGUGUGUUUCAUGGCGUGCCAGAGGCUCCCUGUGUCGGCCCUAAAUAUUACACACAGACAGUAGCUAUCACUUCCAAGCCUGAAAUCCCACAUUCCACAUUCCUGAUUCCAGCGGCUCGCCUGCUAAGCUGGGCACCACAUGAAGAGCCAUUGUUAGAGAGAGAGGGGUCAUGUAUCUCUCUCGCUCUCUGUCUGUCUGUCUGUGGCUCUCUCUCAGCCUUCCUACUGUCUCUCGGUUGGUCUCUCCACCCAAAUAUCUCUCGCUGUCAUACUCUCCGUCUGUUACUCUCUUGCUCCGUCUAUCUUUCUAUUUCUCCCUCUGCCGGUUUAUCUUUAUCUCUCUUACUUAUUCCUUCUCUCCUCCACUGUGCUUUGUCGCCCACUCUCCCACUCAGUUUUUCUACCGUCCUGCAUUUGCUUGUUUUUUUCUUUCUGUACCUUGUCUCCUACUGAUGCUGCUUGUGGCUGUCCUUCUCUCUACAAGACUCUUAGUUUGCUUUCUGUUUUUUUUCUCCUUUGUCUAUCUCUCUGUAUCCUGCUGUCUGUCUCUCUGUCUCUCUCUCCCUCUGUGUCUCCAGAUAUUCAUGUAGAGAUUUUCUCACAUGUUAGAUAUAGAUUUACGACCCUAGCCAGAUCCCCUUGGCCACUAAAUUUGAUACCAUCCACUAAGCCACAUUGUUUUUUUGUGUGUUUGGGCUUGUUGUGUGUGACUGUGGGUAAAUAUAUGUGUGUGUGUGUGUGUGUGUGUGUGUGUGUGUGUGUGUUCAUGCAUUACAAGGUGGAGGCGGGUGACUUUUAAAGGGUUAGCUUGGGUACGGUAAGCGCAGAGGAGGAAUUUACAGUUUAUUGAAGCACAGCAGCCAGGUGUGUGUAUAUGUGUGUAUGUGUGCGUGCGUGCGUGCGUGCGUGCGUGCGUGCGUGCGUGCGUGCGUGCGUGUGUGUGUGUGAAAUAGAGAGAGAGAGAGAAAGAGUGCCUGUGGGUGCCAGGUGACCAGGCUAACCUCUUGGCUGGUGUUUUGGAUUUAGCCUUUGGAUAGCGGUGAAAAAUAAAAAUGGAAUGCUUUUUCAAUUACAGAUCAGAAAGAGACUGAACAAAGGCAGGAGUAAAAGAAAAGAUGAGUUAUUGGGAUCUAACAUAUCAAGGUUUUUCUGACAGACACAUUCUUAAAAUCAGAGUGCAUUAAUUUGGACUUUCAGAACAUUUUGUACUUGAACAUUUGGAGAGUACUGCGGAUCCCCGUAAUUCUGUUGAAAUGAUUUAUGUCAUUUUAAGACGUUGUUGUAUUUUAAGAUAUUAUGAAUGGGUGUCAUGAAUAUUUGUAUAAAACAAAGAAGUGAGAAAAAUAUGGGGGUAAAAAAUACUUUUUUCCUCUUCUGCUUUUGUUUUUCCUUGCAACUCGUCUAAUAAUCGGAGCUUCUCAUGCACUUUGACAUCACAUUAUUGAGCUGUGUUAUAUUUGAGAACUCAAACAUGCACGCACACAUAAGUGCGAAAAUAGAACAUGAACGGAAUAGAAUAUGAAGACAGACAAACACCUGUGGAAGACAGUCACUGUUAUUGUGUUUUUGUUGUGCGUGUUAUUUAUUCUGACAGUAGUCAGUUUAAAGGUAGUCGUCCUCUGCCAUGCAUAUUUUAUUGGCUGUAGGUGAUAUUUGUUGUGUAUUCAUGUCUGUUUGUUUGAAUCCUCCUUUCCUUCAACCCAUUCCACAAGUUGUCAUGGGUGAGGCAUUUGAAAAUGCCAUUGUCGAGUACCGAGGAUUGUAAUAUUGUUGUUUGUCUGUGUGAUGUGAGAUGGUAUUCGCCUUUUGAUGUUUGGCUUGGAAGAAAUACACAAAAUAAAAGCCUUGCGAGAUAAAGGUGUGUUUUUGCACAUGUUUGCGUGUGCGUGUGUUCCCUCAAACUGCUUAUCUGUCAGUCAGAGUGUGUGCAAAUUGUUUGCGCUAGUGCAUGUGUUUGCAUGCAGGUAUCCCGUGUGUGUGUGUGUGUGUGUGUGUGUGUGUGUGUGUGUGUGUGUGUGCAUCCACAUCCACAUCUAAAAGCCAUAUCUGGCUUCAGAUCAAAUGGUGUAUGAAGGAGGGGAAUGACAGAGAGAGAAAGUGAUAGCUCUUUAAUGUUACCUAUCCACUCUCAAACCCAAAUAUAAGACCAAGAACACACGGAAUAGGCAAGUGUGUUUUAGGGGAAAAGGAGUGACAUGAAACACUUAUGUAGAAAAGCUCUGAACACGACGUUGGCAUUGUAGCAGAGGGGAAAAUGUCUCACCAAACAGAAAGAAAGAGGGUAAAUUGGAUGGAAGGAAGAGAGAAGGCAGGGGCACAGAAUGAAACAGCGACAUGCACUUUAUUGUUUGUUUGUGCACGUCAAGGUACAGUGAUAUUCUGUUUUUGACUGAAUACCAACUAUUUUAUCCAACUCACCUUUUUCUUGUUCUGUUCCGUGGUGUCUAAACUUUCACUGUCAUCACGGUGUGGUUAAAACUUAUCAUGACUGCAUUCCAUACAGUUUUGUUAAUUCAUGAUUUCACUGAAAUUACUGCAUUAGUGUUUCUGGGUAAUACAUUUUACAUGUAAAUAAUUUUUGUGCUUGACUGGAAUUAACUUGUUGGAGAAAAUAUACUUACAUUACAUUGUUUUAACACCAGAAGAAUAUAUAUUUUUGCCUUUUUUCUUUAUCUUUGCCCUCCCUGUUUAUCCUCUUUUUCUAGCAGGUAUGUAGCCUGAGCUGAAAGGAUGAAAAUAUUUCCUGUGUACUCUCCUGCAUCACAUCCCUUUCCUCUCUUGAUCCUUGUCUUUCACUCUCUUUUCUCUCUUGCUCUCUUUCUCCUCCUAAAUCUGAACAACUGCUUGCUAUGACACACAUGAUAAUAAUAAAGGUAUUUCUAUCCUUCCUA
Siniperca chuatsi (mandarin fish) is the source of this 4375-nucleotide long non-coding RNA. RefSeq lists it as uncharacterized. The transcript is spliced from 2 exons. The record is from RefSeq and is a predicted model, not a curated record. NCBI's taxonomy places the organism in Eukaryota, Metazoa, Chordata, Actinopteri, Centrarchiformes, Sinipercidae.